RNAcentral lists this ribosomal RNA (415 nucleotides) under uncultured microorganism. RNAcentral's name for it is "bacterial SSU rRNA". It matches the Rfam family "Bacterial small subunit ribosomal RNA", at positions 9 to 420 of the family's 1533-position model. The record is from RNAcentral.
GAGUUUGAUCCUGGCUCAGAUUGAACGCUGGCGGCAUGCCUUACACAUGCAAGUCGAACGGCAGCAUGAUCUAGCUUGCUAGAUUGAUGGCGAGUGGCGAACGGGUGAGUAACACAUCGGAACGUGCCCUGUAGUGGGGGAUAACUAGUCGAAAGAUUAGCUAAUACCGCAUACGACCUGAGGGUGAAAGUGGGGGACCGCAAGGCCUCAUGCUAUAGGAGCGGCCGAUGUCUGAUUAGCUAGUUGGUGGGGUAAAGGCCCACCAAGGCGACGAUCAGUAGCUGGUCUGAGAGGACGAUCAGCCACACUGGGACUGAGACACGGCCCAGACUCCUACGGGAGGCAGCAGUGGGGAAUUUUGGACAAUGGGCGAAAGCCUGAUCCAGCAAUGCCGCGUGUGUGAAGAAGGCCUCGG